GUAACACGUACGCAACCUUCCCGUUACUGUGGGAUAGCCCAGGGAAACUUGGAUUAAUACCACAUAUUGCCAUUGGGAGGCAUCUCUUGAUGGCCAAAGAAUUUCGGUAACGGAUGGGCGUGCGGUUGAUUAGGUAGUUGGCGGGGUAACGGCCCACCAAGCCUACGAUCAAUAGCUGAUGUGAGAGCAUGAUCAGCCACACGGGCACUGAGACACGGGCCCGACUCCUACGGGAGGCAGCAGUAAGGAAUAUUGGGCAAUGGACGCAAGUCUGACCCAGCCAUGCCGCGUGAAGGAUGAAGGUCCUCUGGAUUGUAAACUUCUUUUUUCUGGGGAGAAAUGCAUCUUUUCUAAGGUGUUCGACGGUACCAGAAGAAUAAGCACCGGCUAACUCCGUGCCAGCAGCCGCGGUAAUACGGAGGGUGCAAGCGUUAUCCGGAUUCACUGGGUUUAAAGGGUGCGUAGGUGGGCAUGUAAGUCAGAGGUGAAAUCCCCGAGCUUAACUUGGGAACUGCCUUUGAUACUAUAUGUCUUGAAUGUUGUGGAGGUAAGCGGAAUAUGUCAUGUAGCGGUGAAAUGCUUAGAUAUGACAUAGAACACCGAUUGCGAAGGCAGCUUGCUACACAAAUAUUGACACUGAGGCA
Molecule: ribosomal RNA, 644 nt
Filed under: uncultured bacterium
Lineage: Bacteria
Description: bacterial SSU rRNA
Rfam family: Bacterial small subunit ribosomal RNA
Source: RNAcentral